This 497-nucleotide ribosomal RNA is filed under the name uncultured bacterium. RNAcentral's name for it is "partial 16S ribosomal RNA". It matches the Rfam family "Bacterial small subunit ribosomal RNA", at positions 28 to 507 of the family's 1533-position model. The record is from RNAcentral.
GAUGAACGCUGGCGGCGUGCCUAAUACAUGCAAGUCGAGCGAACGGACGAGAAGCUUGCUUCUCUGAUGUUAGCGGCGGACGGGUGAGUAACACGUGGAUAACCUACCUAUAAGACUGGGAUAACUUCGGGAAACCGUAGCUAAUACCGGAUAAUAUUUUGAACCGCAUGGUUCAACAGUGAAAGACGGUCUUGCUGUCACUUAUAGAUGGAUCCGCGCUGCAUUAGCUAGUUGGUAAGGUAACGGCUUACCAAGGCAACGAUGCAUAGCCGACCUGAGAGGGUGAUCGGCCACACUGGAACUGAGACACGGUCCAGACUCCUACGGGAGGCAGCAGUAGGGAAUCUUCCGCAAUGGGCGAAAGCCUGACGGAGCAACGCCGCGUGAGUGAUGAAGGUCUUCGGAUCGUAAAACUCUGUUAUUAGGGAAGAACAGAUGUGUAAGUAACUGUGCACAUCUUGACGGUACCUAAUCAGAAAGCCACGGCUAACUACGUG